AUGCUGGAUGGACCCAGAGUGGGAAGACUCCUGAGAGAGGGACAGCCAAGUUUGACACAAAUACCAACAAUCCCAGGGGACAUCUAUGGGUCUAACAGGUCUGGUCUUGAGCCCAUUGGACUUACUGGAGUUAAACAAAAAGCUGGGAGAUGUUCCUGCCAAAGCUGCCAAGGGUCUGAUGGAAGGGGGCCUGGCCCGGGAAGGCUCCCCGAAGUUGCUCUGAGCGAUCCUGGAUGCUGCAUGGCUUCAGUCCCUGAGGCCUCCCUGGCCACUAAGAGGAAACAAACCACUGCCAGAGCACAGCCCCACCCUGCAGCUUCCAGAACCCUUGGCUCCGGGACUUUCUCCGGCUCUCCUCUUUGCAUUGUCAAAACGGAACAGACUGCGCAGAAGGAACGCGUUUGGUGCUGA
Molecule: long non-coding RNA, 411 nt
Filed under: Bos grunniens (domestic yak)
Lineage: Eukaryota; Metazoa; Chordata; Mammalia; Artiodactyla; Bovidae
Description: lncRNA (ENSBGRG00000000403.1)
Source: RNAcentral